Molecule: transfer RNA, 69 nt
Filed under: Lasmigona compressa (creek heelsplitter)
Lineage: Eukaryota; Metazoa; Mollusca; Bivalvia; Unionida; Unionidae
Description: tRNA-Gln
Source: RNAcentral
AUGAAAGCUAGUGAACUUGUGACACAAAUGAAUUUGAAUCAUUAAAAGGAAUUAAAAAUUCCGCUUUCA